RNAcentral lists this long non-coding RNA (977 nucleotides) under Citrus sinensis (sweet orange). Its description in RNAcentral is "long non-coding RNA (CSIN_LNC000112)". The record is from RNAcentral. Lineage: Eukaryota; Viridiplantae; Streptophyta; Magnoliopsida; Sapindales; Rutaceae.
UGAAUUUGUAUGUUAGUAAGAGUUUGAAUAGUAGCAGAAGGAGUGCUAAAGAGAAGGAUAAUGAGAAGUCUGUUUCGCCAGGGGUUUGGGGAUCGAGGUUGAGGUCAAGAGGGAGAAAUGUAGGGUUUGGGGCUAAGAGUGAUGAGAGUGGUCACCUGAGUAGGAGGAGGAAGCUUUUUAGGGAAAUGGAUGAGGAUGCUGAGAGUGAGGUUGGUAUGGAGAAGGGAUCGGAAGGUGGGGAUUUGGUGGUUUCGAAAGCAGAGAAGCUGGACAGGUUCAAAGAGUUGAAUGAUUUGGGGGACGAACCAGAGAAGAGUGGGCAGGAAGAGGAAAUGCAUGAAAAGGAGGAAGAGGUGGGGACCCGUGGGAUGAAGGAGGAGAGUGGGAGGGGGGAGGAAUUGGAGGUAGUGCGCAAUGAACGUGAGGACAGUAAGACGAUUCCAGAGAGUGUAGUGGGCAAUGAAGGUGAGGACAGUAAGAUGAUUCCGGAAAGUGUACUGGGCGUUGAAAACGUAACAGAAGUAGUUGAGGCUGAUGCUAGAGUGCUAAUUGAGGAAGAGGAGACAAAAGAAUUAAGUGAUAAGGAGCUAAAGGAGGACUGCAUUGGUGAUGAAAAUGUGGAAGUGAUGGAUACAACAGAAAAGAGUGAUAAAGAAAGGAUGCAGUUUGAGGAUAGAGAUGAAAGAGAAAAUCAUCAAGAUGGUGGAGAACAUGAUGGAGAAGAUCAUCGAGAUGGUGGAGAACAUGAUGAAGUAGAAGAUCAUCAAAUUGGUGGAGAACAUAAUGAAGGAGAAGAUCAUCCAGAUGGUCAUCGAGAUGGUGGAGAACAUGAUGAAGUAGGAUAGAGAUGAAAGAGAAAAUCAUCAAGAUGGUGGAGAACAUGAUGGAGAAGAUCAUCGAGAUGGUGGAGAACAUGAUGGAGAAGAUCAUCGAGAUGGUGGAGAACAUGAUGGAGAAGAUCAUCGAGAUGGUGGAGA